GAGUUUGAUCCUGGCUCAGAUCGAACGCUGGCGGCAUGCCUUACACAUGCAAGUCGAACGGCAGCACGGGAGCUUGCUCCUGGUGGCGAGUGGCGAACGGGUGAGUAAUGCAUCGGAACGUAUCCUGGAGUGGGGGAUAACGUAGCGAAAGUUACGCUAAUACCGCAUAUUCUGUGAGCAGGAAAGCGGGGGACCUUCGGGCCUCGCGCUCUUGGAGCGGCCGAUGUCGGAUUAGCUAGUUGGUGAGGUAAAGGCUCACCAAGGCGACGAUCCGUAGCAGGUCUGAGAGGAUGAUCUGCCACACUGGAACUGAGACACGGUCCAGACUCCUACGGGAGGCAGCAAUGGGAAUUUUGGACAAUGGGGGCAACCCUGAUCCAGCCAUGCCGCGUGAGUGAAGAAGGCCUCGG
This 410-nucleotide ribosomal RNA is filed under the name bacterium enrichment culture clone ALO1_GLFRUDD03GX4W2. RNAcentral's name for it is "bacterial SSU rRNA". It matches the Rfam family "Bacterial small subunit ribosomal RNA", at positions 9 to 420 of the family's 1533-position model. The record is from RNAcentral.